UCAAGUUAUUAAGGGUGCAGGGCGGAUGCCUUGGCACUAGGAGCCGAUGAAGGACGUGAUAAGCUGCGAUAAGCUUCGGGGAGUUGCACGUAAACUUUGAUCCGAAGAUUUCCGAAUGAGGAAACUCACUUAGAGUAAUGUCUAAGUAUCAUUAAGUGAAUACAUAGCUUAAUGAGGGGAACUCAGGGAACUGAAACAUCUAAGUACCUGAAGGAAGAGAAAGAAAUUCGAUUCCGUAAGUAGCGGCGAGCGAACGCGGAUUAGCCCAAACCAAUAAAGUUUUCUUUAUUGGGGUUGCGGACAUAUCAUAACGAAGAGGUAUCGUAAUUGAAGAGGUUUGGAAAGACCCACCACAGAAGGUAAUAGUCCUGUAUGUUAAACGAGAAGACUUCAGAUAUGAUCCAGAGUACCACGGGACACGUGAAACCCUGUGGGAAGCAGGAGGGACCACCCUCCAAGGCUAAAUACUACCUAGUGACCGAUAGCGUAUAGUACCGUGAGGGAAAGGUGAAAAGAACCCCGGGAGGGGAGUGAAAUAGAACCUGAAACCCUGCACUUACAAGCUGUGGAAGCACAUUUCUUGUGUGACCGCGUACUUUUUGUAGAACGGGCCAACGAGUUACGUUAAGUAGCAAGGUUAAGCACUUAAGGUGCGGAGCCGUAGCGAAAGCGAGUUUUAACUGAGCGUUCAGUUACUUGACGUAGACCCGAAACCGGGCGACCUACCCAUGAGCAGGAUGAAGCGAAAGUAAAAUUUCGUGGAGGUCCGAACCCACGAGCGUUGAAAAGCUCGGGGAUGACUUGUGGGUAGCGGUGAAAUUCCAAUCGAGCCCGGAGAUAGCUGGUUCUCCCCGAAAUAGCUUUAGGGCUAGCCUCAAGGUGAGAGAUACGGAGGUAGAGCACUGAAUGUCCUAGGGGGUAUUGCACCUACCGAAGACUAUCAAACUCCGAAUGCCGUCAUCUUAUACUUGGGAGUCAGACUGUGGGUGAUAAGAUUCAUAGUCGAAAGGGCAACAGCCCAGAUCGUCAGCUAAGGUCCCUAAAUGUAAGUUAAGUGGUAAAGGAUGUGGGAUUGCACAGACAACCAGGAUGUUGGCUUAGAAGCAGCCACUCAUUCAAAGAGUGCGUAAUAGCUCACUGGUCGAGUGAUCCUGCGCCGAAGAUUUCCGGGGCUAAAACUUACUACCGAAGCUACGGCAUCAGUAAUGAUGGGUAGGGGAGCUUCCCAUACGGGUUGAAGCAUGACCGUAAGGACAUGUGGACAGUAUGGGAGUGAGAAUGUUGGCAUGAGUAGCGAGAUGUGGGUGAGAAUCCCACAGGCCGUAAACCCAAGGUUUCCAGGGGAAGGUUCGUCCGCCCUGGGUUAGUCGGGACCUAAGCUGAGGCCGAAAGGCGUAGGUGAUGGACAACAGGUUGAUAUUCCUGUACUACCGAUAACCGUUUGAGAGAAGGGAUGACACAGUAGGAUAAGCUAAGCACACUGUUGGUUAUGUGUGCCCAAGCAUUGAGGCAGUCAAAGUAGGCAAAUCCGCUUUGAUAAUGCUGGGAUGUGAUGGGGAGCGAAAUUUAGUAGCGAAGUAGCUGAUUUCACACUGUCAAGAAAAGUCUCUAUCGAGGUUAAAGGUACCCGUACCGCAAACCGACACAGGUGGGUGAGGAGAGUAUCCUAAGGCCAGCGAGAGAACUGUUGUUAAGGAACUCGGCAAAAUGACCCCGUAACUUAGGGAUAAGGGGUGCCACCAUCCGGUGGCCGCAGAGAAUAGGCCCAAGCGACUGUUUACCAAAAACAUAGGUUUCUGCUAAGUCGCAAGACGAUGUAUAGGAGCUGACGCCUGCCCGGUGCUGGAAGGUUAAGGGGAUCUGUUAGAGCAAUCGAAGCAGUGAACUUAAGCCCCAGUAAACGGCGGCCGUAACUAUAACGGUCCUAAGGUAGCGAAAUUCCUUGUCGGGUAAGUUCCGACCCGCACGAAAGGCGUAACGAUUUGGGCACUGUCUCAACAACAGACUCGGUGAAAUUGUAAUUCCGGUGAAGAUGCCGGAUACCUGCGACAGGACGGAAAGACCCCAUGGAGCUUUACUGUAGCUUGACAUUGGGUCUUGGUACUACAUGUACAGGAUAGGUGGGAGGCUUUGAAACCAGGACGCCAGUUUUGGCGGAGCCAUCCUUGGGAUACCACCCUUGUAGUACUGGGACUCUAACCAUAGGCCAUGAAUCUGGUCUUGGGACACUGUCAGGUGGGCAGUUUGACUGGGGCGGUCGCCUCCCAAAAGGUAACGGAGGCGCUCAAAGGUUCUCUCAGUACGGUCGGAAAUCGUACGUAGAGUGUAAAGGCAAAAGAGAGCUUGAUUGCAAGACAUACAGGUCGAGCAAGGAUGAAAAUCGGACUUAGUGAUCCGGUGGUUCUGCGUGGAAGGGCCAUCGCUCAACGGAUAAAAGCUACCCUGGGGAUAACAGGCUUAUCUCCCCCAAGAGUCCACAUCGACGGGGAGGUUUGGCACCUCGAUGUCGGCUCAUCACAUCCUGGGGCUGUAGUAGGUCCCAAGGGUUGGGCUGUUCGCCCAUUAAAGUGGUACGCGAGCUGGGUUCAGAACGUCGUGAGACAGUUCGGUCCCUAUCCGUCGCAGGCGUAGGAAAUUUGAGAAGACCUGUCCUUAGUACGAGAGGACCGGGAUGGACGUACCUCUGGUGUACCAGUUGUCCUGCCAAGGGCAUGGCUGGGUAGCUAUGUACGGAAUGGAUAAGCGCUGAAAGCAUCUAAGCGCGAAGCCAACUUCAAGAUAAGAUUUCCCACCGCAAGGGUAAGACCCCAGAAAGACUAUCUGGUUGAUAGGUCGAAGGUGUAAGUGCAGCAAUGUAUUUAGCUUAUCGAUACUAAUAGGUCGAGGACUUGACCAA
Molecule: ribosomal RNA, 2896 nt
Filed under: Clostridioides difficile
Lineage: Bacteria; Bacillati; Bacillota; Clostridia; Peptostreptococcales; Peptostreptococcaceae
Description: bacterial LSU rRNA
Rfam family: Bacterial large subunit ribosomal RNA
Source: RNAcentral